Molecule: transfer RNA, 49 nt
Filed under: Amphiascoides atopus
Lineage: Eukaryota; Metazoa; Arthropoda; Copepoda; Harpacticoida; Miraciidae
Description: tRNA-Lys
Source: RNAcentral
AAAGAGGAAUUAAAGUUUUUACCUUUUGUCAGAACGUGUUCCCUCUUUU